CACAACCUGAGCUGAAAGCAGACCCCUAACCAACUGAGCUACCCAGGAACCCUCAAAUGACUAGAGUUUCUGACGCGCCCGUGACGCCGCUCUUCGGAACUGACCCAGCCCAGGGCCGGGGGGACGCGGCUAGCGUCUUCCCGGCCUCUGCUGACUCCCUGUUUCUUCCCAGGUCCCUGGUCCCCGCAGGCGUGUCCGCAGCGCCGCGAGGGUUUCUUAAGAUGUAUGCCGGAGUGUUAACCGUUGAAUAAAGGUGUUAACGCAGAGGAUUAUCCUAUCUGGUGUUGGGCAGAUCCUAGGAACUUCCAUCUAACCUUCUUGCAUUAACUUGUAUGAGCAGCAGCUGUCAACUUACUGGAAAAAUGAAACUGCCCAGGAAUUUUGAGAUGCUUAAAUAUUUUUAGAUCAAUGAGACUUCUUUAAUAAAAACAUUUGUUUUUAUUAAAAAGAUUCUAAU
RNAcentral lists this long non-coding RNA (457 nucleotides) under Neogale vison (American mink). Its description in RNAcentral is "Neovison vison (American mink) lncRNA (ENSNVIG00000015244.1)". The record is from RNAcentral. Lineage: Eukaryota; Metazoa; Chordata; Mammalia; Carnivora; Mustelidae.